This 546-nucleotide ribosomal RNA is filed under the name uncultured Actinomycetes bacterium. Its description in RNAcentral is "bacterial SSU rRNA". It matches the Rfam family "Bacterial small subunit ribosomal RNA", at positions 1 to 916 of the family's 1533-position model. Lineage: Bacteria; Bacillati; Actinomycetota; Actinomycetes. The record is from RNAcentral.
AGGCAGUCCAGAGAAUGUUAUUUCUGGAGGAGGCGUGAUGCAAAGGCACGAAGUUCUGAUGGAACUUUAUGUUGUUAAACGAUGUCAUGUCAGAAGAAAAUAACAGUAUUCCAGAAGAAGUCCCGGCCAUCAGCGUCACUGCAUUCGCGGUAAUACGGAGAGUCCAAAGGUGCUCCGGAUAUUUGGGUCGUAAAGGGGUAGUAGGCGGUUAAACAAGAUGGUCGUGAUAGCCUGGGGAUCAACGCUUAGAAACCGGACUAAAAAAUUUAAACCUGAGUUCGGUAGAUGUGAGUGUAAGAUUAAGUGUAGCGGUUGAAGGCGCAGAUAAGAGAGGGACACCAUUAGCGAUGGCGUAUCGGGUGCCGGUACCGACGCUGAGGAGAGAAAGCGUGGGGAGCAGACAGGAUUAGAAACCGUGGUAUUCCAUGCCGUCACUGUUAACUCUAGGUGUGGGGGAUAUAUUCAUGUCCGUCGUGCUUCCGCGAGCGCAUUAAGAUUCGGCGAGGGGAGUUCGGCCCCAAGGCUACAAUUCCAAUGAAUUUAGAG